This 253-nucleotide ribosomal RNA is filed under the name uncultured bacterium. RNAcentral describes it as "partial 16S ribosomal RNA". It matches the Rfam family "Bacterial small subunit ribosomal RNA", at positions 524 to 776 of the family's 1533-position model. The record is from RNAcentral.
UACGUAGGGUGCGAGCGUUAAUCGGAAUUACUGGGCGUAAAGCGUGCGCAGGCGGUUCGUUGUGUCCGGUGUGAAAGCCCCGAGCUUAACUUGGGAAUGGCAGUGGAAACUGGCGAGCUGGAGUGUGGCAGAGGGGGGUGGAAUUCCGCGUGUAGCAGUGAAAUGCGUAGAGAUGCGGAGGAACACCGAUGGCGAAGGCAGCCCCCUGGGCUGACACUGACGCUCAGGCACGAAAGCGUGGGGAGCAAACAGG